GAUGAACGCUGGCGGCGUGCCUAAUACAUGCAAGUCGAGCGAACAGACGAGGAGCUUGCUCCUCUGACGUUAGCGGCGGACGGGUGAGUAACACGUGGAUAACCUACCUAUAAGACUGGGAUAACUUCGGGAAACCGGAGCUAAUACCGGAUAAUAUAUUGAACCGCAUGGUUCAAUAGUGAAAGACGGUUUUGCUGUCACUUAUAGAUGGAUCCGCGCCGCAUUAGCUAGUUGGUAAGGUAACGGCUUACCAAGGCAACGAUGCGUAGCCGACCUGAGAGGGAGAGCGGCCACACUGGAACUGAAACACGUCCCAGACCCCUGGGGGAGGAACCAGUGGGGAACUUGCCGCAAGGGGCGAAAGUUUGACGGAGCACCGCGGGGUGAGUAAUAAAGGUUUUCGGAUCGAAAAACUUUUUUAUUGGGUAAAAAAAAAUGUUAAGGAAAUAAUGCCCGUUUUGAGGGUACCUAACCAGAAAGCCACGCCUAACUACGUC
Molecule: ribosomal RNA, 497 nt
Filed under: uncultured bacterium
Lineage: Bacteria
Description: partial 16S ribosomal RNA
Rfam family: Bacterial small subunit ribosomal RNA
Source: RNAcentral